Molecule: ribosomal RNA, 554 nt
Filed under: uncultured Bacillus sp.
Lineage: Bacteria; Bacillati; Bacillota; Bacilli; Caryophanales; Bacillaceae
Description: bacterial SSU rRNA
Rfam family: Bacterial small subunit ribosomal RNA
Source: RNAcentral
CCUUGCGUGAGUGAUGGGUUUUAUUCGGAUCGUAAAGCUGGUGUUGUUAGGGAAGAAGGGUGCCGUUCAAAUAGGGCGGCACCUGUGACGGUACCUAACCGGAAGAAAGCCACGGCUAACUAGGAAGUGCCAGCAGCCGCGGUAAUAUUACGUAGGUGGCAAGCGUUGUGGUUCGGAAUUAUUGGGCGUAAGGGAAGUUGUUGCUCGCAGGCGGUGUUCGGAGUCUGAUGUGAAAGCCCCAAGGCUCAACCGGGAAGAGGGUCUAUUUGGAAACUGGGGAACUUGAGUGCAGAAGAGGAGAGUGGGGUUCCCCCACGUGUAGCGGUGAGAUGCGUAGAUUGAUGUGGAUUAACACCAGUGGCGAAGGCGAUUCUCUGGUCUGUAACUGACGCAAUGAGGAGCAAAGCGUGGGAGCGAACGGAUUAGAUAAUACCUGGUAGUCCACGCGGCGUAGGAACGAUGAGUAUAAUGUAAGUGAUUAGGUAGGGUUGGUCCGCCAACCUUAGAAGCUGCAGCUAACGGGCAUUAAGAACACUCCCGCCUGGGGGAGUACG